AGCUUACAGGGGUAAAAUCUAUGGUGUCACCCUUAAAAAGGGGUUCACCCAUGCCCUCAUUGAAAAAACUUUCAUAAAAAGGAGGACACUGAAUACCUAUUUAAUUUCCACCAUUGAUAUAAUAUUUAUAAAAUUGAAUGGUUGAGAUUGAAUCAACAAAUUGACCAAAAUACCCAACUUCUUCACUUCAAAAAAAAAAAAAAAAAACUCUUCUUCUUUCUUUCUCCCAAUCUUGACAACCACCUUCUUCCAAUGUCUGACCUCCUCCGCCCACGAUGCCACAACAAUGUUGACUACUUCCGCCUCCCACAGCCAACACCCCACCCCCACACCCACACCCCUUUCAUGGAGUUCGAAAAUCUAACCCAAAACUCGCUCAUCAAACGCCUCCUAUGUUGCUGCGGCGUCGUGUUCGACGUGAGGCUCCACUUAGACGACAUUUGCCACCGGUCGAAGAUCCGCGACGGCCGUUACAGCGUCUCUCAAGGGUUCCUCACCGAGUGUUACAUGCACGGGGCAAUCGUGUUCUGAUCCGCAGUGAAAUCGUCGUUGUGCAGCAUGCACAGAGCAUGAGUUCGUUCCUUCCUCUUCCUCAACCAUUAUUCCAGAUCUGUGCUUCAUUUUUGGUUCACAGAAUUUUCCACCUCUGUUCAUCCUCUUUCUUUCGCUUAGACAUCCAGAUCUGUUUUCUUGAUGAGUGGGUUUUGCUUUGUUUCACUUUUCAAUGUUGUACCAUGUACUUGUGGAUUAUAUUCAACGACUGUGGGUUCAUAAUCAACAAAAAUACAACCCAGAUUUGUUUUCUUUGUCAUCUACUUGUAUGGUUCAUGUUCAACGACUGUGAGUUAUAUUUUUGUUGAUUUUAUUUUGUAUUUGUGGCUUUGGGCUUUGGUUCCAAUACUCUAUGGCGUGGCUAGCCAAGGAUUUGAAGAAGAAACUACAGAUCCUUAUUUUACUGCUAAAAGAAGAAACUCAAAUCCUUAUUUUACUCAUAGAAGAAGAAACUACAGGGGAAGAAGACAAAAAAUUUAGCAGGCACUUACUGUAGGUUGUAAACCGCCAGAAUAUUUAAGGGACAAAUUUGUAAUCUAACAUAAAAAUUUUGGGGGACACCGGUGCAUCCCCUAAAAUGGGAUACACUGUAGUCUUCACCGCUUACAGGUCCACAUUGAAUUAAAUAAAAGGAGUAAAGGGAGAGUGAUCCCAUUUUUGGUCUCCUCAUCUUCUGCCCAAACAAAAACCCUAGCCACCACACCUAGCCUUUCCUCUUCUCCUCCUCCUCCUUCCCUUACGACCACGAAACCACCGACCAUGCCUCCGACAGCUUUUGUUGGACGUGCGACCCACACUACUGCCCCAGUCCCACCCAAUUUGGUUUUUUUGUCAAACUUGUGCACAGGACAAACAACCACCGCCGCGGGACUUCUGGCGAGGCUCGUGAAGUUGAUAAUUGUAUACUAAAGUAGUGGUGUUACCAUAUUCUCACCUCCAUGUCAUUGAUUUGUGGAGGGAAAAACUGCAAGGUGAAUAGGUCUUUCUUCAAGGUAAUGUGUAACUGAAAAAAUUUCAAUAUGAAUAGGUGGAAGGCAAGCUCGUGGAGUCUUCAAGGCAAUGUGUAACUGAAAAUGAAUUGGUGGAAAGCAAGCUCGUGGGGUUUUCAAGGAAAUGUGAAACUGAAAAUUUGAUAUUAAUUUUUCGUUUAACACAUUGUUCAUUUAUAGUUUAUCUCUCAGCUUCCUUUUUAGUCAGUAUCCAGUUUAUGCCUUCUAACACAUGUAGGCAAACACAUUUUGCCCAUCCAUAGAAACUGCCCGGUCAAUCAAUAAUUAUAUUAUUUAAUAUAUUUAA
This is a long non-coding RNA of Lotus japonicus, 1848 nucleotides long. RefSeq lists it as uncharacterized. The record is from RefSeq and is a predicted model, not a curated record. Lineage: Eukaryota; Viridiplantae; Streptophyta; Magnoliopsida; Fabales; Fabaceae. The transcript is spliced from 2 exons.